This 250-nucleotide ribosomal RNA is filed under the name uncultured bacterium. RNAcentral's name for it is "partial 16S ribosomal RNA". It matches the Rfam family "Bacterial small subunit ribosomal RNA", at positions 60 to 305 of the family's 1533-position model. The record is from RNAcentral.
CCAGUCGAGGGGUAACAUAGAGUGCUUGCACUCUGAUGACGACCGGCGAACGGGUGCGCAACGCGUAUAGAAUCUACCCUUUACUGGGGGAUAGCCCAGAGAAAUUUGGAUUAAUACCCCAUAGUAUACUAUUAUGGCAUCAUAAAAGUAUUAAAGGUUACGGUAAAGGAUGACUAUGCGUCCCAUUAGCUAGAUGGUAAGGUAACGGCUUACCAUGGCAACGAUGGGUAGGGGCCCUGAGAGGGGGAUC